AAUGAACGCUGGCGGCAGGCUUAACACAUGCAAGUCGAGCGAGCGGCGGACGGGUGAGUAAUGUCUGGGAAACUGCCUGAUGGAGGGGGAUAACUACUGGAAACGGUAGCUAAUACCGCAUACCAUCAGAUGUGCCCAGAUUGGAUUAGCUAGUAGGUGGGGUAAGGGCUCACCUCGGCGACGAUCCCUAGCUGGUCUGAGAGGGUGACCAGCCACACUGGAACUUAGACACGGUCCAGACGCCUACGUGAGGCAGCAGUGGGGAAUAUUGCACAAUGGGCGCAAGCCUGAUGCAGCCAUGCCGCGUGAGUGAAGAAGGCCUUCGGGUUGUAAAGCACUUUCAGCGAGGAAGCGUUACUCGCAGAAGAAGCACCGGCUAACUCCGUGCCAGCCGCCGCGGUAAUUC
This 406-nucleotide ribosomal RNA is filed under the name uncultured bacterium. RNAcentral's name for it is "partial 16S ribosomal RNA". It matches the Rfam family "Bacterial small subunit ribosomal RNA", at positions 29 to 526 of the family's 1533-position model. The record is from RNAcentral.